AUGUCCCGCCUCCGCCUCCGCCACUGCUCCACCACGCCCAUGUCCCGCCUCCGCCGCCGCCGCCGCCUCUCCUCUUCCACCUCACGACCCACACCCUCCUGGUCUCCCCGCGCCGCCUUUGCGGCGGCCACGGAGCGCGUCCGCGACGGAACGCUCGGCCCUCAAGACGCACACCACCUGUUCGACGAAUUGUUUCAGCAGGCCACCCCGGUCCCCGAGCGCCCCCUCAACGGAUUCCUUGCCGCCCUCACCCGUGCCACGCCCUCCGAGGCCUGCAGAGACGGCCCCGCCCUCGCCCUCUCCCUCUUCAACCGUGUCUGCCGAGAAGAAGCCGGCAUGCGGGUGGCGCCGCCCACCAUCUUCACCUACGGCGUCCUCAUGAACUGCUGCUGCCACACGCGUCGUCCGGAACUUGGGCUCGCCUUCUUCGGCCGCCUCCUAAGGACGGGCCUGAAGGCAGACAAGACCGUCGCCAACACUGUCCUCAAGUGCCUGUGCUGCGCUAAACGGACAGACGACGCUGUGAAAGUGCUGCUUCAUAGGAUGACCGAGCUGGGGUGUGUGCCUGAUGCCUUCUCAUACGCCAUUGUCCUGAAGAGCUUAUGUGAUGAUAACAGGAGCCAGCAGGCGCUCGACCUGCUCCGGAUGAUGGCGAAAGAAGAAGGUGUGUGCUCCCCUGACGUGGUCACAUAUAACACGGUCAUCCACGGCUUCUUUAAGGAAGGAAAAAUAGGCAAGGCAUGCAAUCUAUUCCAUGAAAUGACGAAGCAAGGGUUUGUGCCUAAUGUGGUGACAUAUAACUCGGUUAUCAAUGCAUUGUGCAAGGCCCGAGCAACGGACAAUGCAGAGUUGUUCCUUCGGCAGAUGGUUGAUAACGGCGUUCAACCGAAUAAAGUGACAUAUACUAGCAUGAUCCAUGGAUAUUCCACUUUGGGCCGGUGGAAAGAGGCGACUAAACUGUUCAGAGAAAUGACAAGCAGUGGUCUUAUACCAGAUAUUGUCACUUGGAACUCGUUCAUUGACUCCCUUUGCAAGCAUGGAAGAAGCAAAGAAGCUGCUGAAAUUUUUGAUUCCAUGGCUGCCAAGGGCCACAGACCUAAUAUUGUUACGUAUGGCAUUCUGCUCCACGGGUAUGCAAGGGAAGGAUGCUUUGCUGAUAUGAUGAGUCUCUUUAAUUCAAUGGAAGGCGACGGUAUUGUAGCCAACUGCCUUGUUUUCACCAUUUUAAUUGAUGCAUAUGCUAAACGAGGAAUGAUGGAUGAAGCUAUGCUCAUACUUACUGAAAUGCAGGGACAAGGACUGAGUCCGGAUGUAUUCACCUAUUCAACUCUAAUAUCUGCACUUUGCAGAAAGGGGAAGCUCGCUGAUGCUAUGGAUAAGUUAAGUGAGAUGAUUGGUACGGGAGUACAACCGAAUACAGUUGUUUAUCACUCCCUAAUUCAGGGUUUCUGUACACAUGGCGAUCUGGUGAAAGCAAAGGAGUUGGUUUAUGAAAUGAUGACCAAAGGUAUUCCUUGUCCAAACACUGCAUUCUUCAGUUCAAUAGUACACAGUCUAUGCAAAGAAGGAAGGGUUAUGGAUGCACACCAUAUCUUUGACUUGGUUAAAGACAUAGGGGAGAGAUCUGACAUCAUUAUGUUUAAUACGCUGAUUGAUGGAUAUUGCCUAGUCGGUGAGAUGGGCAAAGCAUUCAGUGUACUAGAUGUCAUGAUAUCAGCCGGCAUUGAGCCUGACAUCUUUACAUAUAAUACACUUGUCAAUGGUUAUUUUAAGAGUGGAAGGAUCGAUGAUGGGUUGAAUCUGUUCAGAGAAAUGUCACAUAAGGAAAUUAAACCUACAACUGUUACAUAUAACAUCAUACUGGAUGGAUUAUUUCGUGCUGGGAGAACAGUUGCUGCCAAGAAAAUGCUCCAUGAGAUGAUCGGAUGUGGAACAACAGUGAGCUUGUCCACAUACACCAUAAUUCUUAGAGGACUUUGUAGAAAUAAUUGCACCGACGAAGCAAUCGUCAUGUUCCAGAAAUUACGCACAAUUAAUGUAAAGUUCAAUAUCACAACACUCAAUACCAUGAUUAAUUCAAUGUACACGGUUCAGAGAAGAGAAGAAGCUAAAGAUUUGUUUGCUGCAAUAUCAGACAGCGGGUUGGUGCCCAAUGCCUCUACAUACGGCAUAAUGAUACGAAAUCUUCUAAAAGAAGGAUCAGUGGAAGAAGCUGACAAUAUGUUCUCAUCAAUGGAGAAGAGUGGUUGUGCUCCUUGCUCUCGUCUUUUAAAUGAUACCAUUAGAACGUUAUUGGAGAAGGGGGAGAUAGUCAAGGCCGGAAAUUAUAUGUCUAAAGUUGAUGGCAAGAGCAUCUCACUUGAAGCUUCAACUAGUUCAUUGUUGUUGUCUCUGUUUUCUGGGAAAGGUAAAUAUCGUGAACAAAUACAAUUGCUCCCUGUAAAGUACCAAUUCUUUGAUGGAGUUAGUUGA
This 2472-nucleotide ribosomal RNA is filed under the name Triticum aestivum (bread wheat). Its description in RNAcentral is "partial small subunit ribosomal RNA". The record is from RNAcentral. Lineage: Eukaryota; Viridiplantae; Streptophyta; Magnoliopsida; Poales; Poaceae.